RNAcentral lists this long non-coding RNA (4612 nucleotides) under Sus scrofa (pig). RNAcentral describes it as "lncRNA (ENSSSCG00005020936.1)". Lineage: Eukaryota; Metazoa; Chordata; Mammalia; Artiodactyla; Suidae. The record is from RNAcentral.
CUCAGCCAACAGGACAAGAUGAAGCAGAACAGGAAAUAUGCAAAAGUGUCACAGGAUAAAGGAAGGACAGAAUGGGGGAGAGAGAGGAAAGGAAAGAAGCAAAUAGGUAAAAGAAAGAGCACUCAUUGCUAAAGAAAACACAACCCCAAAACACAAAGCUUCCCAUUAUACCAGGAUUUUAGAAAAUGAUUAUCAGUGAACAGGGGCUCAGAGAUGAAAUGAUAAAAUAAUACCAUAGACAUUAAAGAUGUUGCAGAGCCAUCAAAACAUACCGAAGACAAACAUUUAUCAAUUUAGUGCUAAUAAAUAAAAUAAAAAGAGCAAGGAAAUGAGGACAUGUGGCUAGAUAUGAGAAGAUACGACUAAAAAUUGAACUGGGGGGACAACACCCAUGGCACAUGGAAAUUCCUGGGCCAGGGAUAGAAUCUGAGCCACAGCUGUGACCUACAACACAGCCGCAGCAACUCCAGAUCCUUGACCCACAUUGGCAGGGCGGGGAUGGGAUCUGUGCUGCCACAGAGACAACGCCAGGUUCUUAACCCACUGCACCACAGCAGGAACUUUCUGAACUAUUGACAUUUUUUUUAAAAAGACAAUUUAAUUCCAGUGAAUACAGCAGCGAAAGACAAAUGUAUUUUUUCAAUGAAGGAAAGAGAACAAGGAUGAAGAACUGAAAACUGCUGAUUCUGUAGAAAGAACCCCAAAACGGUCUAGAAACAUACUUCAGGUAAGGAUAGUAUGAGUUUUCCAUAACAUGAGGGAAGAACAGAUGGAAAUAAUAGUUAAAAACUGAUACAGAAUGAUCCGAAAGAAUUAUAUCCUUGAGUCACCGAAUUUGAAGUUUAAAAUAUUCUGCUGGUGUUCAGGCAGAAAAGAGCAAUUCAUUCAGAUGGCAGGGGGCUUGGGGAGGGUGUCAGACUAGCCUCACUGUUCUAUCAGGAACACUCAAUGCCAAAAGAUAAAAGGCAUUGCCUACAGAUUUCUAAGUAGGACCCCAAGUUUUUAAAGCAAAAUAUCCUUUGACUAUAAAAGAAAUAUAUUUAAGCAUGCGGGAAGUCAGGGAAUACAGCAUCCAUGAGCCUUUCAUGAAAUAAACUAUUCGGUAACAUAAUCCGGUCAACUAAAUCAUUACCAUAGAAACUAUGGCAAAAGGACUACUUUCGCACUCAGUUUGACAAAGUGCUGAGGCAAAGUAUGACCUAAUAAUUUUUAUUAAAUCAGUCUUCCCUUAGAGUAUAAAUGCAGCUGUUUAACGCACCCAAACAUAUUAGGGAAUACAGGAUGUUACAAUAUUUUCUUACCAUUACCUGACAAUGAACUCUAAUUGCCCAAGAGAUAAAAUAAGAAAUAACUCGGAAUGAAAAAGCCAUGGCAAAGAACCAGGAUGAUCAAACUGAUUUAACUGAUGAACAUCAAACUGAUUUAAAUCUUUUGCUGCAUAACUAGUUGACGAACUUCUAAGAAAUCAGUACAGGUGCCCCAGUUUUCCAGAGCCUCAGGCAGAGAGCGUUACAAAGUCAAUAAAACUGGCUAACUGCUCUACUGAUUCAGUAAAAGGAAAUCUUGACACUUAAGAAUUGAAUUUUCAAUUGUAACAUGAUCACUGUAUGUUCACUGAAAAAAAUUAAUUCUUCCAUUAACAAGUGUUUGCAUCAAAAAAUCUAAAAUUCCAAUCAACUACAUGUUUAGUAUGUAAUACAAAAGUAACCUUACAACUCUAGAAAUCCAUUUAUCCUAAUAAAUUCAGAGUCUGAAAAGACAGAAGUUUAUCCUGUUUAUUCCCUCUCGAUUUUCUGUUAAUAUUUUAGACCUGCCAACAUUACCUGUCUAAAAUUACCUUUCAUCAUUUCAACUACUUUUUUCCCCUCUAAACACAAGAAUUUAAUAAUUAAUGCAUCUUACUUACAUAAUGCUUACUUAUAUAAUAAAACGAGUAAAAUCAGAUGAGUGAAUUCAGGGUUAAUACAUUUUCUUAAAUACAACCUGAAUAUUUUUUUAAAAAAAUAAUUUAUUGUAUGCCUUACAUCAUUUUUAUCUAUUUAUUUAUUUAGUCCUUUUAGGCCAGCACCCACGGAUAUGGAAGUUCCCAGGCAAAGGGUCGAAGUGGAGCAGUAGUUGCUGGCCUACACCACAGCCACAGCAACAUAGGAUCUGAGCCACAUCUGCGACCUACACCACAGCUCAUGGCAACGUUGGAUCCUUAACCCCCUGAGCGAGGCCAGGGAUCGAACCUGUGUCCUCAGUGAUGCUAGUCAGAUUUGCUUCUGCUGAGCCAUGACAAGAACUCCUAAAUAUUUCUUUUAAAAAAGAAACAGGUUUUCAAAAAGCAUCUUAAAGAAUUUCAAUUAAUCACAUCAAGGGGAAAAACAUCAAGAAUAAAAAAGAAAAGCAAUAAAUUGUUAACUGUGACCUCAUAGUUAAUAAGAUAAAUGGAAGACAGACCUCUUUACAAGGUACACUAAUGGAAUUUAUUCAAAUACCUUGAACUGUAUUCUAACAUUAUAAUGCAACAGGUAUUUUAUAAAAUGGCCCCAACAGACCUUUCUGUUCUAUCCUAAAUUAUUCAUUGCUUUCUAAAGUUAUACUCUUCUUUUCUCCCACUGUGUGACUGUUUGUAUUACUCCCUCUGCUUAAAUCAUUGUCUUUCACAAUUAUUCAAUCAUUAGCCAUCUUCUCUCUCUCUCUUUUUUUUUCUUUUUAAUGGCAUCCAUGGCAGGGACUGAAUCCGAUCUGCAGCUGUAGCAAUGCCAGAUUCUUUAAUUCACUGGCUAGGCCAGGAAUCAAACCUGCAUCUCCAUAGUGGCCUGAGCCACUGCAGGAGGACUCUUGACCCUCCAUGCCAUUAUUCUUCAAUGACCAUCUCACUUGAACAAGACUUUCCUGUUCUCUGGCCCUUCCCAGUGGGUUAAGGAUCCAGCAUUGCCAUGAGCUAUGGUAUAGGUUGCAGACACAGCUUGGAUCCCACGUGGCUGUGGCUAUGGCUAUGGCUGUGGCGUAGGCCUGUACCUGCAGCUCUGAUUCAACCCCUAGCCUGGGAAGUUCCAUAUGCUAUAUGCGUGGUCAUGAAAAGAAAAAAAAAAUCCCAUCAACAGUUUAUAUCUUCUUAACUGAAUUCCAUAACGUUACACCAUAGCCUUUUGUACUUAUUAUAUAUCAAUUCCCUCCAUACGUGAUCCUCCCACUUUUCUCUUUGCUUUCCACAAACACUGUUUGGCUGAUCUCAUUUACUCUGACAGCUUCAAGUGCCAACAAUUCUCCAAGUUCCUUACCCAGAACUCUCUCCUGAGCAACAGGCCCAGAUAUACCCACUCGAAAAUCACAGGAAAUUCCAAUCUCACAAGGUUAAAACAUCUCACCGUGUUUUGCAAACCUGAUCCUCCCAGUAGCACCACUUGCCUAGCAGCCCAAGCCCUAUCUUGAUAUCGUUUCGGACUGCCUUCUUUUCUGCAACACCACAUACACUAAAUAAAUAAAUCUUCACUUCUUUACCUCCUAAGUAUCCUUCAAAUCCAUCCAUUUUUCUCCAUCUCCAUAACCAGCCCUAGACCUAGUUCAAAACAGCAGCAACAUCAGCCCUUUAUCUUGGUGGUCCACCCUUGCUUCCCAGUUCAAUCUUUUUUACAUAUACUAAAGAAUUCUUUAAAAUGGAAACACACAGUCACGAAAGCUUCUUUCCUAAACCUCUUCACAAACUCAUCACUGUUUUCACAACAAAUAUCAAACUUUUGGAGUGCCCAUUGUGGCUCAGCAGAAACAAACCCAACUGGAAUCCAUGAGGAUGCAGGUUCAAUCCCUGGCCUCACUCAGCGGGUUAAAGAUCUGGCAUUGCCGUGAGCUGUGGUAUAGUUUGCAGAUGCAGCUUGGAUCUGGCAUUGCUGUGGCUGCAGCAUAGGCCGGCAGCUGCAGCUUGGAUUCAACCCUUAGCCUAGGAACUACCAUACGCUGCAGGUGCAGCCCUCAAAAGACAAAAAAAAAUUUUUUUAAUCAUAAGGCAUUAUAAUUUGACUCCUCCUUCCCUCAAAGAGUUAUUAUUUCUCUUUAAAUCCUAUUAAUUCUUUUUUAACAGUUCUUCGGCUCAACCAUAAUCUUCUUGCCUAUGUUUUUUUCCACAGUUCUAACCUUUGUUUGGUAUAGCUGUAAUUCAUAUUUAGGUCUCAUUUAGCCAUUUCCAUUUUCACUCAAAAAUCUCCACAAUACUUAUUGGACCAGAUCUAGGUGGGUGUCCCCGCCAUGCAAUGUCCCAGGACCAAAGCUUCUUCCACACAGUGUUUCUGUGCUGGUCUGCAUUUACUACAGAGCUCUGGGGAGGCAGGCAGGCAGGCAUAUACUAUAUUCACCAAACUCACCUGGCAUUGUGCCAGGUACACACUGAGUCAUCAAAAAAAAAAAAGUUGGAGUUCCCAUCAUGGUUCAGUGGUUAACGAAUCCGACUAGGACCCAUGAGGUUGCGGGUUCGAUCCCUGCCCUUGCUCAGUGGGUUAAGGAUCCAGCGAUGCCAUGAGCUGUGGUGUAGCCAGCGGCUACAGCUCCAACUGGACCUCUAACCUGGGAACCUCCAUAUGCUGCGGGAACGGCUCAAGAAAAGGCAAAAAGACCAAAAAAAAAAAAAAAA